GACGAACGUUGGCGGCGUGCUUAAUACAUGCAAGUCAACUGAAGCACCGGUAGUAAUACUGGUGUGGAGGUGGCGCACGGGUGAGUAACACGUAGGUAAUCUGCCUUCAGGCCUGACAUAACCCCGAGAAAUCGGGCUAAUAGCAGAUGAUGCAGCGGCUUGACAUCAAGACAGUUGUUAAAAGCUUCGGCGCCUGAAGAUGAGCCUGCGUCUGAUUAGCUAGUUGGCGGAGUAAUAGCCCACCAAGGCGACGAUCAGUAGCUGGGUCUGAGAGGAUGAUCAGCCACACUGGAACUGAGACACGGUCCAGACUCCUACGGGAGCAGCAGUAAGGAAUAUUGCUCAAUGGAGAAAUCCUGAAGCAGCAACGCCGCGUGAGGGAUGAAGG
This 388-nucleotide ribosomal RNA is filed under the name uncultured bacterium. Its description in RNAcentral is "bacterial SSU rRNA". It matches the Rfam family "Bacterial small subunit ribosomal RNA", at positions 28 to 414 of the family's 1533-position model. The record is from RNAcentral.